This 82-nucleotide transfer RNA is filed under the name Echinostoma caproni. It matches the Rfam family "tRNA". From Rfam's summary of the family: Transfer RNA (tRNA) molecules are approximately 80 nucleotides in length. Their secondary structure includes four short double-helical elements and three loops (D, anti-codon, and T loops). The record is from Rfam by way of RNAcentral. Lineage: Eukaryota; Metazoa; Platyhelminthes; Trematoda; Plagiorchiida; Echinostomatidae.
GGCUUCGUCGCUCAGCUGAUAGAGCAUUCGCGUUCAAAGCGCAGACGGCGUCCAUCCGUAGGUUCGAAUCCCACCGAGGCUA